UGGUUCUGGCAUCGAUGAAGAACGCAGCGAAAUGCGAUAAGUAGUGUGAAUUGCAGAAUUCAGUGAAUCAUCGAAUCUUUGAACGCACAUUGCGCCCUUUGGUAUUCCUUAGGGCAUGCCUGUUCGAGCGUCAUUUAACCCCUCAAGCUCAGCUUGGUGUUGGGCGCCUGUUCCCCCCCGGGACUCGCCUCAAAUGCAUUGGCAGCCGGUACGUUGGCUUCGAGCGCAGCAGAAAAGCGCCUGGCGUCUGACGGUACGGGCUCUCCAGCAAGCCUUCUCUCCAAUUUUGACCUCGGAUCAGGUAGGGAUACCCGCUGA
Molecule: unclassified non-coding RNA, 318 nt
Filed under: uncultured fungus
Lineage: Eukaryota; Fungi
Description: partial contains 5.8S ribosomal RNA and internal transcribed spacer 2
Rfam family: 5.8S ribosomal RNA (bases 1-133)
Source: RNAcentral